Molecule: ribosomal RNA, 384 nt
Filed under: Synergistaceae bacterium
Lineage: Bacteria; Thermotogati; Synergistota; Synergistia; Synergistales; Synergistaceae
Description: bacterial SSU rRNA
Rfam family: Bacterial small subunit ribosomal RNA
Source: RNAcentral
GCCAAGGAGAGUUUGAUCCUGGCUCAGGAUGAACGCUGGCGGCGUGCUUAACACAUGCAAGUCGGACGGGAUUAUCGGGAAGCAUUGUAGUGGGUAACUGUUGUGAUGUGAAACGAUAAUUUAGUGGCGGACGGGUGAGUAACGCGUGAGGACCUGUCCAUCGGAGGGGGACAACAGCUGGAAACGGCUGCUAAUACCGCGUAUGCGCGAGAGCGUGAGAGGGUGGAGACAUCCGCCGAUGGAGGGACUCGCGUCCUAUCAGCUGGCAGGUGAGGUAACGGCUCACCUGGGCGAAGACGGGUAGCCGGACUGAGAGGUCGCACGGCCACACUGGGACUGAGAUACGGCCCAGACUCCUACGGGAGGCAGCAGUGGGGAAUAUUG